UGGGGAAUAUUGGGCAAUGGAGGAAACUCUGACCCAGCAACGCCGCGUGAAUGAUGAAGGUUUUCGGAUUGUAAAGUUCUUUUCUAAGGGAAGAAGAAAGUGACGGUACCUUAGGAAUAAGCCUCGGCUAACUACGUGCCAGCAGCCGCGGUAAUACGUAGGAGGCAAGCGUUAUCCGGAAUGACUGGGCGUAAAGGGUGCGUAGGUGGUUUGGCAAGUUGGCGGCGUAACUCCGAGGCUCAACCUCGGAACUACCGCCAAAACUGUUGAACUUGAGUGCAGGAGGGGCAAUUGGAAUUCCUAGUGUAGCGGUGGAAUGCGUAGAUAUUAGGAGGAACACCAGUGGCGAAGGCGAAUUGCUGGACUGUAACUGACACUGAGGCACGAAAGCGUGGGGAGCAAACA
Molecule: ribosomal RNA, 405 nt
Filed under: uncultured bacterium
Lineage: Bacteria
Description: bacterial SSU rRNA
Rfam family: Bacterial small subunit ribosomal RNA
Source: RNAcentral